UACAGGGGGUGCAAACGUUAUUCGGAAUCACUGGGCUUAAAGGGCGCGUAGGCGGCCUUCUAAGUCAGACGUGAAAUCCCCCGGCUUAACCUGGGAACUGCGUCUGAUACUGGGAGGCUUGAGUAUGGGAGAGGGAUGUAGAAUUCCAGGUGUAGCGGUGAAAUGCGUAGAUAUCUGGAGGAAUACCGGUGGCGAAGGCGGCAUCCUGGACCAUAACUGACGCUGAGGCGCGAAAGCUAGGGGAGCAAACGGG
Molecule: ribosomal RNA, 253 nt
Filed under: uncultured bacterium
Lineage: Bacteria
Description: partial 16S ribosomal RNA
Rfam family: Bacterial small subunit ribosomal RNA
Source: RNAcentral